CAGUAGCCGCGGUAAUACGUAGGUGGCAAGCGUUGUCCGGAAUUAUUGGGCGUAAAGGGCUCGCUGGCGGUUUCUUAAGUCUGAUGUGAAAGCCCCCGGCUCAACCGGGGAGGGUCAUUGGAAACUGGGAAACUUGAGUGCAGAAGAGGAGAGUGGAAUUCCACGUGUAGCGGUGAAAUGCGUAGAGAUGUGGAGGAACACCAGUGGCGAAGGCGACUCUCUGGUCUGUAACUGACGCUGAGGAGCGAAAGCGUGGGGAGCGAACAGGAUUAGAUACCCCGGUAGUCCCUGUCUCUUAUAC
Molecule: ribosomal RNA, 301 nt
Filed under: uncultured bacterium
Lineage: Bacteria
Description: partial 16S ribosomal RNA
Rfam family: Bacterial small subunit ribosomal RNA
Source: RNAcentral